UACGGAGGAUCCGAGCGUUAUCCGGAUUUAUUGGGUUUAAAGGGUGCGCAGGCGGAAUAUUAAGUCGGCGGUGAAAGUUUGCAGCUUAACUGUAAAAUUGCCGUUGAUACUGGUAUUCUUGAGUGUAUAUGAAGUAGGCGGAAUUUGUAGUGUAGCGGUGAAAUGCAUAGAUAUUACAAGGAACUCCGAUUGCGAAGGCAGCUUACUAAAUUACAACUGACGCUUAGGCACGAAGGCGUGGGUAUCAAACAGGAUUAGAUACCCUGGUAGUCCCUGA
Molecule: ribosomal RNA, 277 nt
Filed under: uncultured prokaryote
Description: partial 16S ribosomal RNA
Rfam family: Bacterial small subunit ribosomal RNA
Source: RNAcentral